RNAcentral lists this ribosomal RNA (562 nucleotides) under uncultured bacterium. Its description in RNAcentral is "partial 16S ribosomal RNA". It matches the Rfam family "Bacterial small subunit ribosomal RNA", at positions 355 to 906 of the family's 1533-position model. The record is from RNAcentral.
UGGGGAAUCUUCCGCAAUGGACGAAAGUCUGACGGAGCAACGCCGCGUGUAUGAUGAAGGUCUUCGGAUUGUAAAGUACUGUCAUUGGGGAAGAACGGUUUUCUUGAAAAGAUUGAGAAGACAUGACGGUACCCAAGGAGGAAGCCCCGGCUAACUACGUGCCAGCAGCCGCGGUAAUACGUAGGGGGCAAGCAGUGUCCGGAAUUAUUGGGCGUAAAGGGCGCGUAGGCGGGCUUUUAAGUCCGGUGUGAAAGAUCAGGGCUCAACCCUGAGAGUGCAUCGGAAACUGGAGGCCUUGAGGACAGGAGAGGAAAGUGGAAUUCCACGUGUAGCGGUGAAAUGCGUAGAUAUGUGGAGGAACACCAGUGGCGAAGGCGACUUUCUGGACUGUAACUGACGCUGAGGCGCGAAAGCGUGGGGAGCAAACAGGAUUAGAUACCCUGGUAGUCCACGCCGUAAACGAUGAGUGCUAGGUGUAGAGGGUAUCGACCCCUUCUGUGCCGCAGUUAACACAAUAAGCACUCCCGCCUGGGGAGUACGGCCGCAAGGUUGAAACUUAAAU